UACGUAGGUGGCAAGCGUUGUCCGGAUUUAUUGGGCGUAAAGGUUGCGUAGGCGGCCCUUUAAGUCGGAUGUGAAAUCCCCGAGCUUAACUUGGGGGCUGCAUUUGAAACUGGGUGUCUAGAGUGCAGGAGAGGUAAGUGGAAUUCCUAGUGUAGCGGUGAAAUGCGUAGAGAUUAGGAAGAACACCAGUGGCGAAGGCGACUUACUGGACUGUAACUGACACUGAUAAACGAAAGCCAGGGGAGCAAACAGG
This 253-nucleotide ribosomal RNA is filed under the name uncultured bacterium. Its description in RNAcentral is "partial 16S ribosomal RNA". It matches the Rfam family "Bacterial small subunit ribosomal RNA", at positions 524 to 776 of the family's 1533-position model. The record is from RNAcentral.